UACGGGGGGGGCAAGCGUUGUUCGGAAUUACUGGGCGUAAAGGGCGCGAAGGCGGCCUGCUAAGUCGGGUGUGAAAACUCUGGGCUCAACCCAGAGCCUGCAUUCGAUACUGACGGGCUAGAGUUCUGGAGGGGAAAGCGGAAUUCCUGGUGUAGCGGUGAAAUGCGUAGAUAUCAGGAGGAACACCGGUGGCGAAGGCGGCUUUCUGGACAGAAACUGACGCUGAGGCGCGAAAGCUAGGGGAGCAAACAGG
Molecule: ribosomal RNA, 253 nt
Filed under: uncultured bacterium
Lineage: Bacteria
Description: partial 16S ribosomal RNA
Rfam family: Bacterial small subunit ribosomal RNA
Source: RNAcentral